UGUAACCUACGGGGGGCAGCAGUGAGGAAUAUUGGUCAAUGGGCGAGAGCCUGAACCAGCCAAGUCGCGUGAAGGAUGACGGCCCUAUGGGUUGUAAACUUCUUUUGUCAGGGAGCAAUUGAGUCCACGUGUGGGCUUAGCGAGAGUACCUGAAGAAAAAGCAUCGGCUAACUCCGUGCCAGCAGCCGCGGUAAUACGGAGGAUGCGAGCGUUAUCCGGAUUUAUUGGGUUUAUAGGGUGCGUAGGCGGAAUAUCAAGUCAGCGGUACAGAUUCGGGGCGCAACCCCGUCGUGCC
RNAcentral lists this ribosomal RNA (295 nucleotides) under uncultured bacterium. RNAcentral's name for it is "partial 16S ribosomal RNA". It matches the Rfam family "Bacterial small subunit ribosomal RNA", at positions 333 to 625 of the family's 1533-position model. The record is from RNAcentral.